CAUUCCCAUGUAAACACACACCUACACACAUGCACACCCCCGCAGCCGCUUUUUUUCGGUGUUUGUCCGUUUUCUUUAUUUUAGGGAAAUUUGCAUACCACCGACCACCAACAACCGAACUUUGACAAUGCAAUUUGAAAAGCCUGACAUUCGCCCGAUCCCUGCCCUGCCACAUGUGGCUAAACAUUAGCGGUCACUUGUUGUGGGAGUUUCCCCUUCUUUGGACUGGUGCUGGCUUUGCGGCUUUUUUCGUCCUCCAGCUACCUGGAUACGAUACGUUCUCCGUGCUCACCUCGAUUUAUUAUAUGCUGUUUUGCUGGAGCUAUGCUCCGGAAAAACUUUCUUAAUGAGCCUCAUACGGAUUUUGUGGCUUCUCUGGCUUGAAUCGAUGCAAAGUUGGGCCCCGUCCCGAACAAUAGGCCGAGGACUGUCCUGCGAUUGGCAGAGGCAAAGGAGUCCCAGCAAGACUUGUAGAUGCAUAUCAAGCCGGCUUCCGGUCCGCACUCGGCACAAUUCCAGCACUCGGAGCCCAUUGUUUGCACUCAAAUUAUUUACACAUUAUCUGCGGGCAGAGGAGCCAGCCGGAGGACAAGAACGGGAGCACAGUGCCCCCAAGGAGGACAGACAACACACACACAGGGUGAGACAGCCAGUUGUUAUUUUAAUAGUUUAAGUAACCAUAAUAUGUUGAGGACUUUUUAAUAAACUUGAAACACGAGCAAGCGUGAGCCACAAGGACACCAGAGACCGGCCCCCAGAGACAGAGCGAGGGGCGAGGACAGGACAGGACAGGACAUGGGAAGGAUGCGAAUGUAGAUGUGAACGUGGAACAACUGCAGGCGGGGCCAAGAUUUAUGCAAACCAAAAUGUUGCCAAAAAUUACAAUUUAAUGGAGUCGACUCUGAGUGGAGAGUGUGCGUGGCGUGGCAUGGCGUGGCGUGGCCCAUAAUGAGCAGCGAGAAACUUGCAACAAAAGCCAAAGUCGACAAGACAAAGGCCACAACAACAACGACAAAAAUAGCAAGAAGGAGUCGCAGGACCAAGAGCAACUAGAAAUGUAAGCAAAAGUAACUUCUCUAAUUUUGCAGGAAAUAUGAAGCCAUUAAAGUGCAGCAGACAAGGCGAAACAUGGCAACAUCUUGACUACUGCGGCACACACACAUACCCAGACAGAGCAGAGGCUGAGGCUGAGGCUGAGGUAGAGGCUGAGGCGGAGGCGAAGGCUGAGGCUAAGGAAGGAGCAGCCACUACCGGGCCAUGUGGCGACUACUGUCCUGUGAAAGUUGUCCUCGAGAGUGUGAAAAUAAAUUGUGAAAAAGUCGCAGGAGAAGUGAAAAUGGCAACUGGUUUGCAUGUGGCCCCACGACAAACUGGAACUUCAGUGGAACUCCGCUCCAUGGUUCGGCCAGCGGUAAGCGGUAAACGGUAAACGGAGGAAAGAAAAAGCCGUAUAUACAUAUCUUUAAUUGCCAACUUGGGCAGUGACAGGCGGCGAGAAAAAUGAGCCCUGGUGAGGUCCAGCGAGGGAUUCUGGGCGGCCAGCUGGUGUCACAUGUCCGGCGCUAGUUGCACUUAAUCACUGCCCCGGCCAGCUGGCUGUCGUGUCGACCCGACGGAACCGGAGCAACCGGAGGUGCCUUUCCCCUCUGGGCGUCACCUGAGUGAAGUCCCGGCACUAAGCCAUCCAGGAGAGCGCUUUAAUUGGACAGAUUGAGAGCGGGAACAGAAGCUCCGAGCAAUCCGCGAUGCUCCCCAUCCCGCACAGAUAUAAAUAUGCAUCGAGUGUACGCCAUAGAGUCGGACUACCAGAUGGAUCGACCGCAAUGUCGAGCGGCACCCGGAAUUAAGUUAAUUUUAAUUUACGCUGAUUAAUUGCAUUGUCAGGCCAGAUGAAAUGUCCCGCCCUGGUCGGGCGCUGCUGUGGGUGCCCAACCGGAGGACCAGUGGCAACCGCAUGCCAAGUGUUAAAUGUCAGAGCAACGCUUUUAAUACAAUUUGGUGGCAGAUGCGAGGCAGGGCGCUCGCGCCAGUACAGUGCGUAUCGUGGAUAUAAUUGAGGGGAAUCGAUAUAAUUAGGGUUUUUCGAAUAAUAUCCAAGAGUGUCUCGUUUCUGCCACGGGUGCUCUGCGCUCUGCGCUCCGUGCUCCGUGCUGCGUGCUCUCUGCUCGAGUUUCGGCAUCAUCUAAUCGACAAUCGGCCACAAAUUGCUGUUUAAGCAACGCACAUUGAAAUUCCGUUUGCAUAUCGGCCAUAAUGUCGUACAUUAGGUUGCUUUUUUCCUCUCCUCGGAUCGGGGGGCCACUAUCUAGUGCGGCGGUGCACACUCAAUUUAAUGGUCUUGGGUGUUCCAAAUUCGGGAAUUAAAUAGAACAUUAAGAGCAAAAACGCUCCACAGAGAGAUCCCUCAAUUUGCAUAAACGGCCAGAGGCGGCACCUGAUAAACAGGUGUCGAACAGGAUAUAAAAUUCUAUUGGCUCUUUUUUUUAUUUUUAUUUUUAUUUGUUUCGUCUUCCUUAUGUGUAGGUUUGCCCUUGCCGAAGGUACAUUACAUCGCCCACAGAAGAAGUUCUUUGGGUGACCAAAAAUCCACCGAUUUCACUUCGGGCAAAUAUCUAUUUUGUUCAUAUUCGGAUAAAACAUUCACAAAUAUAAAUAAACGUAUAUUCAAUGUUCUUUUAUUUACAGAUAUUUUAUAGAUGGCUCUGUGGGUCCACUAAAACUACCAUCUACCUAAACUUGAGCAUAAAUCAAGCGCAUUUUACACAGCUAAGUAGAUUCAAUUACGAUUUAUUGGCAAAUUUAUUCAAAUCUCAUUUCCAGUUAGCCCCAACCAAUCGGGCCAUGUACUGUCUGGGAAGAGCAUCCAACAUCCGGACUGUACCUGUAGCUGUACUGUAUCUCCUUCCCUUGUUUAUGUUUUGCUCCGGAGCAAUCCAACUAUUGCGUAGAACUAGCCCAGAACUGGGCCAUUGUCAUGCGGAGGAGCACACGGCUUCGUUGGGUUUUUUUGUUCGAAAACAUUGCGAGGCAUUUGCAUAAAAAGUUGAUAAUUA
Long non-coding RNA from Drosophila pseudoobscura, 3053 nucleotides. RefSeq lists it as uncharacterized. The transcript has 3 exons. The record is from RefSeq and is a predicted model, not a curated record. NCBI's taxonomy places the organism in Eukaryota, Metazoa, Arthropoda, Insecta, Diptera, Drosophilidae.